This 254-nucleotide ribosomal RNA is filed under the name uncultured bacterium. RNAcentral describes it as "partial 16S ribosomal RNA". It matches the Rfam family "Bacterial small subunit ribosomal RNA", at positions 524 to 776 of the family's 1533-position model. The record is from RNAcentral.
CACGUAGGGGGCGAGCGUUGUCCGGAUUUAUUGGGCGUAAAGAGCUCGUAGGCGGCUCGGUAAGUCAGGUGUGAAACCUCCAGGCUCAACCUGGAGACGCCACCUGAUACUGCCGUGGCUAGAGUCCGGUAGAGGAGCGUAGAAUUCCUGGUGUAGCGGUGAAAUGCGCAGAUAUCAGGAGGAACACCGGUGGCGAAGGCGGGUCUCUGGGCAACAACUGACGCUGAGGAGCGAAAGCGUGGGGAGCGAACAGG